UACGUAGGGUGCAAGCGUUGUCCGGAAUUAUUGGGCGUAAAGCGCGUGUAGGCGGUUCGAUUAGUCUGCUGUGAAAGUCAGGGGCUCAACCCUUGAAUGCCGGUGGAUACUGUCGGGCUAGAGUGCGGAAGAGGCGAGUGGAAUUCCUGGUGUAGCGGUGAAAUGCGCAGAUAUCAGGAGGAACACCAAUUGCGAAGGCAGCUCGCUGGGACGUUACUGACGCUGAGACGCGAAAGCGUGGGGAGCAAACAGG
This 253-nucleotide ribosomal RNA is filed under the name uncultured bacterium. Its description in RNAcentral is "partial 16S ribosomal RNA". It matches the Rfam family "Bacterial small subunit ribosomal RNA", at positions 524 to 776 of the family's 1533-position model. The record is from RNAcentral.